This 464-nucleotide ribosomal RNA is filed under the name uncultured bacterium. RNAcentral's name for it is "partial 16S ribosomal RNA". It matches the Rfam family "Bacterial small subunit ribosomal RNA", at positions 28 to 507 of the family's 1533-position model. The record is from RNAcentral.
GACGAACGCUGGCGGCGUGCUUAACACAUGCAAGUCGAACGGUAAGGCCCCUUCGGUGGUACACGAGUGGCGAACGGGUGAGUAACACGUUAGCAACCUGCCAUUGACUUUGGGAUACCAGCUGGAAACAGCUGCUAAUACCGGAUAUGACCUCUUCUCUCAUGGGUUGAGGUGGAAAGCUCCGGCGGUUAGGGAUGGGCUCGCGGCCUAUCAGCUUGUUGGUGAGGUAAUGGCUCACCAAGGCUUCGACGGGUAGCCGGCCUGAGAGGGCGACCGGCCACACUGGGACUGAGAUACGGACCAGACUCCUGCGGGAGGCAGCAGUGGGGAAUAUUGCACAAUGGGCGCAAGCCUGAUGCAGCAACGCCGCGUGCGGGAUGACGGCCUUCGGGUUGUAAACCGCUUUCAGUAGGGACGAAGCUAACGUGACGGUACCUACAGAAGAAGGACGGGCUAACUACGUG